This is a long non-coding RNA of Magnolia sinica, 319 nucleotides long. RefSeq lists it as uncharacterized. The record is from RefSeq and is a predicted model, not a curated record. The transcript is spliced from 3 exons. Lineage: Eukaryota; Viridiplantae; Streptophyta; Magnoliopsida; Magnoliales; Magnoliaceae.
AGGUAGAGAAAAGGAACAAAGAAUCAGGCAACCCCUGUUGCCGGAAAAAGAGAUGGCAUAGGAGAUCUCUCUUCUCGUCAGAUCUGCUGAGAUGGGAAUGAGAUCUCUCCUCUUCUUUAAAGCUCAUCUAGUAAGCUCAAAUUUGGGACAAGUGAGAGACAGUGGGUUGAAGCCCAAGUUGAAAAUGCUAAGCAGCAGGCUAUUCUUGCGGCACUUAAAUCUCAAGUAUCAUCUGAUGAAGCUCACAUUCAUCAUGAUCUUCAUUCUCUUCGGUGCUUCUUUUCACUGGAUGAUAUUCCUAGCAAGCACUCUGUGGACA